GUGCUUUCAAAAUACUACUCAAAAAGGCUACUAGGAGGAAGCCCAGUGGUCAACACAAAAGCACACAGGUAAUCAGGCAAUUAAUCACCACUGUAAGAGGAAUCAAGUCAUGAACAAACAAAAGAGGAGUUGGGUUUCCUAUGGGAAACCCCAAGAAUGCCAGGAGGAAGAGCAUUUUUGGAACAUUCUCAUCAGAACUCUUGGAAAGAUUCAUACAUCAAAAGCAAGUUGCUAUUGAAAAGCAAAAUCAGAAAAUUAGAAUUCCAAGAAGUGAAAUCUUGACAAUUUAAUUAUCAAAAUUAAUUUCAAAAUUCCGGGAAGUCUAAUAAAUAGAAUAGAUGAAGCAAGGACUGAAUUAGUGCUGGGGAAGAGAAAGUUUGGAGGAUAAAAAAAAAAAAGCAAUCUUCCAAAAGGCAGAGACAGGAAGUAAAGAGAGGAAAAAGGUGAGGAAAGACUGAGAAAAGGCCUGGACAGUUCACCUUCCCACACGAUGCUGGAAAGAAUACAGAAAGAGGACAUAACUUUUUUUUAACCUUAAUUUAUUUGUGUAUUUUUAUGUGGUGCUGAGGAUCGAACCCAAGGCCUCCGCACAUGCUAGGCGAGUGCUCUACCCUUGAGCCAUAAUCCUAGCCUGGACAUAACGUUUUACCAAACAGAGGAAUGAAAGUCUUGAGAUUGACAGGGCUCACACAGAGACAUACUGAUGAGAUCUGUAAGGAUAAAAAGAAUAUCCUGACACAGAAGAUUGUUUGUGAAGAGACCCAAGUCAAAUUUAAUCAGACUGACCUCAGCAGCACUGGAUGUUACAAGACAAUGGAUAAGCUGGGGUGUAGCUCGGUGGUACAUGCAUGAGGCUCUGAGUUCAAUCUCAUGAAGAAAGGAAGGAAG
RNAcentral lists this long non-coding RNA (888 nucleotides) under Marmota monax (woodchuck). The record is from RNAcentral. Lineage: Eukaryota; Metazoa; Chordata; Mammalia; Rodentia; Sciuridae.